RNAcentral lists this ribosomal RNA (1018 nucleotides) under Guptibacillus hwajinpoensis. RNAcentral describes it as "bacterial SSU rRNA". It matches the Rfam family "Bacterial small subunit ribosomal RNA", at positions 57 to 1057 of the family's 1533-position model. Lineage: Bacteria; Bacillati; Bacillota; Bacilli; Caryophanales; Guptibacillaceae. The record is from RNAcentral.
GCAGUCGAGCGAGAGAUGGGAGCUUGCUCCCUGAUCUUAGCGGCGGACGGGUGAGUAACACGUGGGCAACCUGCCCUGCAGACUGGGAUAACUCCGGGAAACCGGAGCUAAUACCGGGUAAUACAUCGCACCGCAUGGUGCAAUGUUGAAAGUUGGCCUUUGGCUAACACUGCAGGAUGGGCCCGCGGCGCAUUAGCUAGUUGGUAAGGUAACGGCUUACCAAGGCGACGAUGCGUAGCCGACCUGAGAGGGUGAUCGGCCACACUGGGACUGAGACACGGCCCAGACUCCUACGGGAGGCAGCAGUAGGGAAUCUUCCGCAAUGGACGAAAGUCUGACGGAGCAACGCCGCGUGAGUGACGAAGGCCUUCGGGUCGUAAAGCUCUGUUGUUAGGGAAGAACAAGUACCGUUCGAAUAGGGCGGUACCUUGACGGUACCUAACCAGAAAGCCACGGCUAACUACGUGCCAGCAGCCGCGGUAAUACGUAGGUGGCAAGCGUUGUCCGGAAUUAUUGGGCGUAAAGCGCGCGCAGGCGGUCUUUUAAGUCUGAUGUGAAAGCCCACGGCUCAACCGUGGAGGGUCAUUGGAAACUGGAGGACUUGAGUGCAGAAGAGGAGAGUGGAAUUCCACGUGUAGCGGUGAAAUGCGUAGAUAUGUGGAGGAACACCAGUGGCGAAGGCGGCUCUCUGGUCUGUAACUGACGCUGAGGCGCGAAAGCGUGGGGAGCAAACAGGAUUAGAUACCCUGGUAGUCCACGCCGUAAACGAUGAGUGCUAGGUGUUGGGGGGUUCCACCCUCAGUGCUGAAGUUAACACAUUAAGCACUCCGCCUGGGGAGUACGACCGCAAGGUUGAAACUCAAAGGAAUUGACGGGGGCCCGCACAAGCAGUGGAGCAUGUGGUUUAAUUCGAAGCAACGCGAAGAACCUUACCAGGUCUUGACAUCCUCUGACAAUCCUGGAGACAGGACGUUCCCCUUCGGGGGACAGAGUGACAGGUGGUGCAUGGUUGUCGUCA